Molecule: non-coding RNA, 33 nt
Filed under: unclassified sequences
Source: RNAcentral
ACAGCGGAAUCCGAAAAGCUUUACGAGUAGGAA